CUGUAACAACAUACUGUAGCACCAUGACCAGGAUCUCUAUUCAUUUAAGUGAGCAGAUUAUGGCUUUCAGGAGGAACUGAAAAUCUACUGGAGACUGGUAGACUUGUGGAUUAUGGUCACGGACAGUGCUAUUCGCAAACACUAUCAUCAGAUGCCUGUUAUACACCGAACGCUAAAGCCGCGAACAUGAUCAGAGAGACUAUUCAAGUGAUCGACUCAUCGAAGGAUGAUGAUGAUGAUGAGCGAUCGGCAAAGGCCAUCUGGAAUCUGCAUCACGGUACAAUAUCUCUUUGAUCACAGUCAGAAGACAGUUGAUGAAACUUUGACCCAAUGAGUCAUCUGUCAAACAAAGAACUUCGCGUGCUGCAGGCCCAUGCAUGGAUCAAAGCUGGCGAGACAUUCAAUAACGUCAUCUUCACAGACUAAUCAAGCGUGGCCCUUGAGCAAUUUGCUCAAAAGUGCUACAGAAAAAAGGAAGAAGAUCAUGCAAGCCGAGUUCCAAGCAUCCGCUCAAACUCCAUAUGUGGGGGCAAUUUCUCGCCAGGGACCAGGCCCAUAUUUGAUUUGUGAUGGUAUCAUUGCUCGAGAUUUCUUUGAGGACGAAAUCAUCAAGAGAUAUGCUGGACCCUAUGUCAGAGAGGUGUUUCUGGGUACACAUUGUGUCUUUCUGUCACAGGUGUAGCCGUGUUGAAUAGACCAAAUCGCAGCAGAGUUGUGGAUACUCAUUCUUUUAAUACUUUAGAAUAAAGCAUACACGGGAAAACAAAAAAAACAAUAACCAACGAUAGUGCAACAGUUUUGCAGGCUAUACAAACCGUAGUGCAAAAAACAAUUCCCCACAAACACACAGACAAACACACCCAACUAAUAUAGGACUUCCAAUCAAAGGCAACACCACACAGCUGCCUUCAAUUGGAAGUCCACCCCAAUUACCUCUACAUAGAAACACCCAACCUAGACAGAACAUAGAAAACACAACUUCUUCUGCCACGCCCUGACCAAAACUUAAACUUACUCCCUCUGCUGGUCAGGACGUGACAUUACCCCCCCCUAAAGGUGCAGACCCCGGAAUGCACGUAAAAGAAAAAAAAAAAAAACACCCCCAAACAAAAUAUAUCCCCCUAAACAAUAAGAGAGGGUGGCUGCCGUCACCGAUGGCACUGUGCUACACCCUCCCUCCCCAACCCACCUAUCCUGGAGGUGGCUCAGGUGCAGGACGUGGACCUCGUUCCCCCUUCGGCGUCGCCCACUUCGGUGGCGCCGAUAGCUGCGCCGGAGGACAAUCGGGCCGCUCGGGCUGGGCCGGAGGGCAGGCGGGCCGCUCGGGCUGGGCCGGAGGGCAGUCGGGCCGCUCUGGCAGACCCGGAGGGCAGUCGGGCCGCUCUGGCAGACCCGGAGGGCAGUCGGGCCGCUCUGGCGACGUACGACUGGCGGGCAAAUCUGGCGACUCUUGACUGGCGGGCAGCUCUGGCGACUCUUGACUGGCGGGCAGCUCUGGCGACUCUUGACUGGUGGGCAGCUCUGGCGACUCUUGACUGGCGGGCAGCUCUGGCGACUCUUGACUGGCGGGCAGCUCUGGCGACUCUUGACUGGCGGGCAGCUCUGGUGACUGUUGACUGACGGGCAGUUCUGGCGAACGUCGGACUGGGAUGACGCACUUGAAGCCUGGUGCGUGGUGCUGGUACUGGACGUAUCAGCCUGGGAGCACGCACCUCAGAGCUAGUGCGGGGAGCGGGAACAGGACGAGUCGGACUGGGCUGACGCACUUCCGGGUCCGCACGAGAGACAUGAACUGGAAACCCAGGGCUAUGGAGGCGCACAGGCGGUCUUGAUCUUACCUCCUGCACAACCCGUCCUGGCUGGAUGGAACUAGUAGCCCUGUACGAGCGGGGUGCUUGUACAGGGCGGACUGGGCUGUGCAGGGGCCUGAUGGUAGCCGUGCAUAGAGCGGGAGUUGGGUAGCCUGGUCCUCGGAGGCGUACCGGUGACCAGAUGCGCUGCGCAGGCAUCCUCCUACCAGGCUGGAUGCCCGCUCUAGCACGGCACCUGCGAGGGGCUGGAAUAACGCACACCGGACUGUGCCUGCGUAUGGGUGAGAUAGUGCGCUCUUCAGCGAAACAUGGCGCCCUCCACCUCAUACGCUCCUCUAUAUAACCACGGGUAGCUGGCUUCCGGCUCUUCCUAGGCCUAGCCAAACUACCCAUGUGCCCCCCCAAAAAAAUUAUUGGGGGUGCCUCUCGUGCUUCUCCCUCAGCGUGUCCAAGGCCUCGUACCUCCGCCUCUCUGCCUUGGCUGCCUCAAUUUCCUCCCGUGGGCGACGGUACUCCCCAGCCUGGUGCCAAGGUCCAGCCCCGUCCAGAACUUCCUCCCAGGUCCAUCUCUCCCGC
This 2387-nucleotide long non-coding RNA is filed under the name Salmo salar (Atlantic salmon). RNAcentral describes it as "lncRNA (ENSSSAG00000098752.1)". The record is from RNAcentral. Lineage: Eukaryota; Metazoa; Chordata; Actinopteri; Salmoniformes; Salmonidae.